AUGCCCCACCUGGCGGCUGUUUGGGCGGUCCAAGCUGAGGCCAAGAUCAAAUUCUUUGUCUGGACGCUGCUCCAGAAUAGACUAUGGACAGCUGAUCGACUGUUUGUAAGAGGCUGGAAUCAUCAAGACUAUUGUUCUACCUGCGACCAAGUGAUCGAGUCGGCCCAUCACCUGAUCCUUGGCUGCCCAUAUGCAUGCCAAGCAAGUCUGGGCUAA
RNAcentral lists this ribosomal RNA (216 nucleotides) under Triticum aestivum (bread wheat). RNAcentral's name for it is "partial small subunit ribosomal RNA". Lineage: Eukaryota; Viridiplantae; Streptophyta; Magnoliopsida; Poales; Poaceae. The record is from RNAcentral.